UGGGGAAUAUUGGACAAUGCGGGAAACCGUGAUCCAGCAAUGCCGCGUGAGUGAUGAAGGCCUUAGGGUUGUAAAGCUCUUUUACCAGGGAUGAUAAUGACAGUACCUGGAGAAUAAGCUCCGGCUAACUCCGUGCCAGCAGCCGCGGUAAUACGGAGGGAGCUAGCGUUGUUCGGAAUUACUGGGCGUAAAGCGCGCGUAGGCGGCUAUUCAAGUCAGGGGUGAAAUCCCGGGGCUCAACCCUGGAACUGCCUCCAAAACUAUCGGUCUUGAGUUCGAGAGAGGUGAGUGGAACUCCGAGUGUAGAGGUGAAAUUCGUAGAUAUUCGGAAGAACACCAGUGGCGAAGGCGGCUCACUGGCUCGAUACUGACGCUGAGGUGCGAAAGUGUGGGGAGCAAACAGG
Molecule: ribosomal RNA, 404 nt
Filed under: uncultured prokaryote
Description: bacterial SSU rRNA
Rfam family: Bacterial small subunit ribosomal RNA
Source: RNAcentral